CUCCAAACAUGUAUUAGAAACCACCGUUUGCUGUUCUUCGUCUUCUGUUCUCUGAUGAUCAUCAUGUUCUGGAGGAACACAGCAGUUCUGAUCCUGAUCCAGCUGAUUCAGGCUCAGCAGGUGUUUGCAGCUCCAUCGUUUACUGAACACAGAAGCCUGGAGGUUUCCAGAGGAGAUUCAGUCACUUUGACUUGUAACGUGUCUGUGGAAGAAGCAACAGAAAUCAAAUGGACCAAAAACAAUUUAUUAUUUCAUCAUUCCGUCAUUCUCAACGCCACAGUUUCAAAUUUCUCUUUUUCUAACAUCAGAAUCGAGACCGACCUCCCUACAAAGUUAAUGUUUCUGAAUGUUCAGGAUGAAGAUGAAGGAUUUUAUAAUUGUACUGUAACUGACAGUAAAGGAUUUAAAGGAAUUACAUGGAAGUUAAAUCUGCUCGAGAAAAGUAAAGGAAUCAGAUUUUUAAUUCGUCCCUAUCUAGUAGCCCUGAUUGGAGCAGCGAUUCCUCUGUUUUUUCUGCCCUUUUAGUCGUCUGCUUCUACAGAUUCUCUCCAGUUUCCACAAAAACUCUCUGUCUUCGUGCUGAACGCAAUAGAAGAAGAUGACGGCAGAGAACAUGGAGAUGAAGGAAUGGAGUUUCAACUUUGAGCUUGGACACCAAACAGCAGAGAUGAAGUCUUUAGAAACUGUUUAUCCAAAUGUGAC
RNAcentral lists this long non-coding RNA (702 nucleotides) under Oryzias javanicus (javanese ricefish). RNAcentral describes it as "lncRNA (ENSOJAG00000008385.1)". The record is from RNAcentral. Lineage: Eukaryota; Metazoa; Chordata; Actinopteri; Beloniformes; Adrianichthyidae.